This 888-nucleotide long non-coding RNA is filed under the name Setaria viridis. RNAcentral describes it as "long non-coding RNA (SVIR_LNC003258)". The record is from RNAcentral. Lineage: Eukaryota; Viridiplantae; Streptophyta; Magnoliopsida; Poales; Poaceae.
UGAAAAGAAAAGGUUUUGGCGAAGUCGUCGACUUGAAAGUAAAGUUCGAAGAAAAAGUAGAUUUAUUGUAUUGAUUGAUGUUGUAUCUACAAGCCUCACGAGGCAGCUAUUUAUACCCUGUUACAACUAAUUUCUUAACUAACUAGGAUCUAUCUCCAAUUUUAAACCAUAACAAAUAUUGACAAACACAACUCGUAUCGGAGUUGGUUACCAUCUCCCCACGGGCCAAUCUUCUUAUUUAGCUAAUCAUCAUCUUGGCCCACCUCAGGCCCACACUGGUCAAGCCAUCCUGACUUCCCAAUCAGCCAGCCUCUACUAACUCCUUCUGUCAGUCGGCCGAAACAUUGUAACUUUAAUCGGCCAAUUCCCAGUUGUAGCUUCUAGCCGCCGCACUGUCCGCCUUUCUUCUCCUUUGACGCUGAUUCCAAACACGUGUCAAAAUCCGGCGUCAACACAUGCCCCCCCAGUUUCGGAGUAAAACACAACUUUUGCUUUGAAACUUUUUCAACCCUAACUCCUUCCCCAAAGAAAACGCAACAGUAAGCACGGCGAAUGCUUCCUUUUUGCUCCGCAGUUCUCUCUCUGAUGAUUGCGAUUUUUUGAACGAAGCGCUUGCAGGCAACCGCUAUCCCUGAAAUUUGUCUAGACAGCACGGUAAAAAUCCCGCCUUUACCCUUCUCUCGAACCAUCCUUAAAUACUCGCAUCCUCCGCCGCUUCUUCUCCACAAACUUAGAAUCCUUCCCUCUCCAGCAAAUCACCUCCCGUUGCAUUCCGGCGUCCUUUCAGCUUCCAGCUGCAUCCCUCUAGCGAUUCUCCCUUCAUCUUCUGAUCUCCUCACUCUUGUUUAUUCUAAUGGUGAUCCCAUCGGCGACCAUGGCCUUCAUCCC